Molecule: small nuclear RNA, 104 nt
Filed under: Microtus ochrogaster (prairie vole)
Lineage: Eukaryota; Metazoa; Chordata; Mammalia; Rodentia; Cricetidae
Source: RNAcentral
GCUCGCUUUGGCAGCAGCAUGUACUAAAAUUGGAAAGUUUACACAGAUUAACACGGUCCUUGUGUAAGCAUGACAUGCAAAUUCAUGAAUCUUUUUAUGUUUUU